AUGAGAGAACUUGCUGCUACCUCCGUCCUCUCAGCACAACUCUGUUCGAAGACUUCCGUCCAGACCGGCCUCAACCGAAGCUCCUUUAUGUCGUUCAUCGCUCAUAACACUCCCUCCGCCUGUUUAUGUCGCUGUUUAAUUCCUCCAUCCAUUUCAGCUCCAUUUAACAACAACAAUAACUCACUAUCACUGCUCAAGUGGAUGCAAGAUUGA
Non-coding RNA from Vicia faba (fava bean), 213 nucleotides. NCBI's taxonomy places the organism in Eukaryota, Viridiplantae, Streptophyta, Magnoliopsida, Fabales, Fabaceae. The record is from the annotation of a GenBank genome assembly.